Molecule: long non-coding RNA, 228 nt
Filed under: Nicotiana benthamiana
Lineage: Eukaryota; Viridiplantae; Streptophyta; Magnoliopsida; Solanales; Solanaceae
Description: long non-coding RNA (NBEN_LNC030719)
Source: RNAcentral
GAUACUAGACCUCCAGACUUUCCUAUCAAGGGCCAUGUCCUCGAAAACCCGCAUUCUAGCAAUGUCAUGCCUAAUCACCUCUCCCCAAUACCUCUUAGGCUUCCCUCUGCCUCGCCGUACGCCGACCAUCGCCAGCCGCUCACAACUUCUCACUGGGGCAUCAGGACUUCUCCUCCGCACAUGCCCGAACCACCUCAGCCUCGCUUCUCGCAUCUUCUCAUCCACCGG